This 726-nucleotide ribosomal RNA is filed under the name uncultured Peptoniphilus sp. RNAcentral describes it as "bacterial SSU rRNA". It matches the Rfam family "Bacterial small subunit ribosomal RNA", at positions 52 to 791 of the family's 1533-position model. The record is from RNAcentral. Lineage: Bacteria; Bacillati; Bacillota; Tissierellia; Tissierellales; Peptoniphilaceae.
AGCGAUGAAACUUUAACAGAACCCUUCGGGGCGAAGAUAAAGUGGAUUAGCGGCGGACGGGUGAGUAACACGUGAGUAACCUGCCUUAGACAUUGGGAUAGCCUCGGGAAACCGGGAUUAAUACCAAAUAAAAUCAUAAUGACACAUGUCAUAACGAUCAAAACUCCGGUGGUCUAAGAUGGACUCGCGUCCCAUUAGCUAGUUGGUAGAGUAAAAGCCUACCAAGGCGACGAUGGGUAGCCGGCCUGAGAGGGUGAACGGCCACAUUGGAACUGAGAAACGGUCCAAACUCCUACGGGAGGCAGCAGUGGGGAAUAUUGCACAAUGGAGGGAACUCUGAUGCAGCGACGCCGCGUGAACGAAGAAGGCUUUCGAGUCGUAAAGUUCUUUUAUAUGGGAAGAUAAUGACGGUACCAUAAGAAAAAGCCCCGGCUAACUACGUGCCAGCAGCCGCGGUAAUACGUAGGGGGCUAGCGUUGUCCGGAAUCACUGGGCGUAAAGGGUUCGCAGGCGGAAAUGCAAGUCAGAUGUAAAAGGCAGUAGCUUAACUACUGUAAGCAUUUGAAACUGCAUAUCUUGAGAAGAGUAGAGGUAAGUGGAAUUUUUAGUGUAGCGGUGAAAUGCGUAGAUAUUAAAAAGAAUACCGGUGGCGAACGCGACUUGCUGGGCUCAUUCUGACGCUGAGGAACGAAAGCGUGGGUAGCAAACAGGAUUAGAUACCCUGGU